AGCGGAGGAAAAGAAACUAACAAGGAUUCCCCUAGUAACUGCGAGUGAAGCGGGAAAAGCUCAAAUUUAAAAUCUGGCGGUCUUUUGGCUGUCCGAGUUGUAAUCUAGAGAAGUGUUAUCCGUGCUGGACCGUGUACAAGUCUUCUGGAAUGGAGCGUCAUAGAGGGUGAGAAUCCCGUCUCUGACACGGACUGCCAGUGCUUUGUGAUGCGCUCUCGAAGAGUCGAGUUGUUUGGGAAUGCAGCUCAAAAUGGGUGGUAAAUUCCAUCUAAAGCUAAAUAUUGGCGAGAGACCGAUAGCGAACAAGUACCGUGAGGGAAAGAUGAAAAGAACUUUGGAAAGAGAGUUAAACAGUACGUGAAAUUGCUGAAAGGGAAACGCUUGAAGUCAGUCGCGUUGGCCAGGAAUCAACCUUGCUUCUGCUGGGCGUACUUCCUGGUCGAUGGGUCAGCAUCAAUUUUGACCGUUGGAAAAAGCUCAGGGAAAUGUAGCAUCCUCGGAUGUGUUAUAGUCCUUUUUCGCAUACAACGGUUGGGAUUGAGGAACUCAGCACGCCGCAAGGCCGGGUCUUUGACCACGUACGUGCUUAGGAUGCUGGCAUAAUGGCUUUAAUCGACCCGUCUUGAAACACGGACCAAGGAGUCUAACAUGCCUGCGAGUGUUUGGGUGGAAAACCCGAGCGCGUAAUGAAAGUGAAAGUUGAGAUCCCUGUCGUGGGGAGCAUCGACGCCCGGACCUGACCUUUUGUGACGGCUCCGCGGUAGAGCAUGUAUGUUGGGACCCGAAAGAUGGUGAACUAUGCCUGAAUAGGGUGAAGCCAGAGGAAACUCUGGUGGAGGCUCGUAGCGAUUCUGACGUGCAAAUCGAUCGUCAAAUUUGGGUAUAGGGGCGAAAGACUAA
Molecule: ribosomal RNA, 900 nt
Filed under: Descomyces sp. PDD 94367
Lineage: Eukaryota; Fungi; Basidiomycota; Agaricomycetes; Agaricales; Bolbitiaceae
Description: eukaryotic LSU rRNA
Rfam family: Eukaryotic large subunit ribosomal RNA
Source: RNAcentral